This 808-nucleotide long non-coding RNA is filed under the name Chrysolophus pictus (golden pheasant). Its description in RNAcentral is "lncRNA (ENSCPIG00010014452.1)". Lineage: Eukaryota; Metazoa; Chordata; Aves; Galliformes; Phasianidae. The record is from RNAcentral.
GGGGCGUGAGGCGCUGCUCCCCGCGCGGGGCCCGGGCGGAGGGAGCGCUGCUGGCGGAUCGUGGCGAGCCUGCAAUGAGUGACAGGGCGAUCCAGCGCCGCACCGAGCUAACUAGGUCACUGCCAGCACUUAAUUACUGUUUGUUUCAUUUUAGUGCGUGCCUUAUGAAUAAACCGGCUAUUAGGCUGAUGCUUCAAGUAACACUAUCCAGCACCCAGAGCAGAUUCAUGUGAGUUUUUGCAAUCAGGAGAAAAAAAAAAAGCAUUCAAGAAAAGGAACACUGCACCUUACGUACAGAGUCUACUUAUCAACAGUUAAAUCACCUUGCAGAGUGAGGCUCCUGGUUUAUGUGCUGUGCAACGUGGGGGCGGGACCCACGAGUUUAAAAGCAGAGGCAAGGAUGCAAAACAUUUCUAUUGCAAUGAAAGAUGGAGUUGAUGAGUACCUUGCAAGACUGGGCCACCACUACUUCAAGGAUGAUCCCACAUUCUGGGGACCUCAGGAAAUGCACCAAUGCAGUCUACUCAGUGACUUGCUAAAUAAAUAAGUGCUAAAUCACAUCAACCUCUGCAAGAAGUCAGGAAAAAAUGGAAAAUGUGUCGCUGCUGUCAUCCCAAGUUUUGUUUGCAUUUAUUUACAUUAAAGCUCUUGUUUCUGUAGGACUUUUGAGGCUGAUUUUGUUCUUGUCUCUUCUGGGUUUCAAGAAUAUAUUGUAAGCACUACGUCAAGUCUCAGUGUUGCUUGUAUUACAUCUACAUACUGCAAAAUCAUGUGGUCUGAAUUAUGCUCCUAGGAAAGCAUAUUAGCA